This 291-nucleotide ribosomal RNA is filed under the name uncultured Chitinophagaceae bacterium. RNAcentral describes it as "partial 16S ribosomal RNA". It matches the Rfam family "Bacterial small subunit ribosomal RNA", at positions 505 to 795 of the family's 1533-position model. The record is from RNAcentral. Lineage: Bacteria; Pseudomonadati; Bacteroidota; Chitinophagia; Chitinophagales; Chitinophagaceae.
GUGCCAGCCGCCGCGGUAAUACGGAGGGUGCAAGCGUUAUCCGGAUUCACUGGGUUUAAAGGGUGCGUAGGCGGGCUGUUAAGUCAGUGGUGAAAUCUUUGGGCUUAACCCGAAAACUGCCAUUGAUACUAUCAGUCUUGAAUAUUGUGGAGGUCUGCGGAAUAUGUCAUGUAGCGGUGAAAUGCUUAGAUAUGACAUAGAACACCAAUUGCGAAGGCAGCAGGCUACGCAUAUAUUGACGCUGAGGCACGAAAGCGUGGGGAUCAAACAGGAUUAGAUACCCCAGUAGUC